GCAAAAUAUAAAAGGAGGGUCCCCAGGAGUUCAGUGGUCCCUGAUCUGUCUACCUCAACAGAAAAUUUUGAAGGCCUGCCUGUGACAUUUCCCAAGGCUCCCGGAAGAGUUGAAGCUGUGUGAGUCCCGUGUGUUAUACACCCCAGCCUGCAUUCAUGGAGGACGAGCAGCCCACCCAUUCUAAGUGAGCGUGUGGGACAGGGAGGAUAAAAGCUGUGACUCCUAGGAGGUUCUUUGGAGAAGAAAGGCUGUAAGCAGCCUGGCUUCAUUAGGCGUGAAGACGGUCCAGUUAAACGAGCGGAGAGGUGAGGGUAUGUGUGAGUGUGCACGUGGGCGCUCCAUCGAGAGGGACAAGGCUGCUUGGGCAUCCCUUUUCUUUCUCUUCCCAGAGGCCUGACAAAGCCUGUCUGUUUUUGCCUAGCCACCAUUUGUAAAGACCUCGAGCUUCCCCUGGCUUCCCGCAAGGGGCAGGAGUGGGAGCCAUUCAUCACUGUCAGGAGAUGUGCUGCCCAAGGCAGGGAUGGCUCUCCUCCCUGCUGCUCCUGCAGCAAGAGCUGCAGAUCUUGAAAAGAUGCAGAACAUGCACAUUGCAAAGACUGUUCAUCACCAUGGCUCUGUGAGCCGGGGAGAGGCCACUCUCCGAAUGGUGCUGACCCAGUCUCCCUAUGGCUCCAGCCCCCCUUUCCUGCCUGGGGCUUGGAACAGGAAGCCUUUGAGGGGCUCAGUCUAGGUCCCAGACCAUCCUCAUACCCGAAAAUCUACUGAGGUUUGGGGUAAAAGUUCUCUGAGGCAGUGGCCAAGUCUUCACCCCAUCUCCGCAGAGUGGAGAUUUUGCUCUGUGUUCUGCGGCCAGACUGCUGCUAAGCCAGCCCGUAAUAAUCGUUAAACUAUGAAAACACAAGUUGCUGGGAGGAAAUGAAUACCAGCUUUCACUAGGGAAAGGCCUGCUUUCUUCUGAAGUAAUUAUAAAAUUAAAAUGUGAUAUUUCUCUGGUGAGUCUCAAAAGCUUCCCAGGGCGGUCCACAGCACAACAGAAAUGUCAGGAUUUGCAACAGAGUGGGACUGAGAAAUCCUUCUGCGCCCCAAAAACGCCAGUCAGAGACAUCCGCGAAUGAAUUCCAAAGAUUGGGUUAAGAGUGAUUAAGAGCAAAGAGAAGGAAAAGUAGAGACUUUGGAUUUUUCAAUGACUCUGUAAAACUCAAGAGUCGAGCCACUAGAAAAUGCAGACUUUCUAAGUAAGACUAAUACUGCCGAGCUAAUUAGACCCACAGGCAUGACCGACAUAUAAAUUCAAGCCCCAGAGAAGGGUGCUGUCCCUUUAAGAGCUGCCUGGGGAUCAGUGGGCAAGCUAAUGAGAAGUGUCAGUAAUGCAACUUUAUGAGGUGGCCUGAGGGAGGCGGGAGCCUGGGGUUCCUGUAACAGGGCUUCUGGCUUGACUCAAUAAAUCAAUUUGUAUUAAAUGUGGGUGCCACUCUGGAGUUGGCCGCAAGCCCUUCUCAUCUCUCUACUCCUCUGCUAUGAUCUACCUGGAUGUAUUGACAGAGGGCACAGAGGAAAGAUAAUACCCUCGGAACUCCGCCCCGGCAGCCCCCCACACACACUCUGGGCUGCCUCCAAUGGGUCUCUCUUUCCAGAAAGUGUUUGGAUUAUUGGUAAAAGCCCAAGGCUAUGGGGCUGGGUCUUUUCAUUACUGAGCUGGGCUCCAGGCUGUGGACUGUGAAUAAAGGUCACCCUGAAAAGGAACUGAAAGGCUUGGGACUGAACUUACUUUUUAAUCAGAUCCCCAGGAUCUGAGCUACUUCCCAAGAAGUAAAAGAAAAGGCGAGAAGGAAGGCAGCAACAUCUGGCAGCAACCUAGGGAGUGGUAGGGGGAGGCUGUGCUUCUGCGCUGAAAGGGAGGAUAGAAGACUAGGGGGACAAUGGAGGGAGGCUGGGAGGGUGCUUCUGUACAGAUUGGGGAGGGUGGCAUAGGGAGUAGUAGGGGGAGACUGGGAGGGUGCUUCUGCACAGAAUGGGGGGAGGGAGGAAGCUAUUUGGGUAGAUGAGGUGGGCUUCCCUUCAUGGUCAGCAGCAUGUAUUUUUUUUUCUUUCUGCCCAGCAAGGGGACAGCUGGAAAUGAGGUAGAUAUUCCUAAAUGCCAUGACAGAAGUCCCUAGGCAUUUGGAAGGUGGAGCAAAGCCCAUGCCCCAGCUACCUCAUUAAGGCCAUGACUUCCCUUUGUUUUUCCCUACUAAAUGUCUGUCUGUCCAUCUGUCCGUCCAUCUAUCUAGCUAUCUCUCAUCUAUAAGUCUAAUCUAAUAUCUAUUAAUCUAAUCCAAUCUAUUUAGAGAUAGGAUCUCAUCUAUCCCAGCCUGGCCUUAAGUCCACUAUAUGGCUGAGGAGGAUCUUGAAUUUCUAAUCCUCCUGCAUCCACCUGCUAAGUGCUGGGAUUAUGGACAUGUGCCACCAUGCCCCAUUUUUAUUGUGCCAGAGAUGAAACCCAGGGUCUCAUACACUGUAGGCAAGUCCUUAGCAUCCCUAGCUCCCUGCUCACCCUUCGCUGUGGGAUGCUCAGCUACAACUUCUGCCACAGCCUGACCAGACUCAUGCUCGCCCAUCAUCCAGACCACAGUUCACCUGAAAUGAAUGCUCUAACUUGCACCAUCUAAUCCAGUAGCCACUAGCUGGGUGUGGCUACUGAGCAAGUGACAUGUGGGCAGUGAGACUUGGUGAAUUAAUUUUUAAUUUUAUUUAAUUUUUAACUAACUGAAAUUUAAGUGGCCACAUGUGGCUGCUGGAUAUUAUGUUCGAGAGCAUAGGAAAAAAUGGAGAGGUUCCCUUCGCUUUUAUUGAGGCAGGGAAUGCUGAACCGAGAAAAUGAAGGCUGAUUUCAUUGGCUUCCCGGUGGAAAAAUCCCAAUUUGCUCAUAGCUUUAAGGAAACAGAGGAGGGGGAAAUUACACUGACACAUCAUUAACUUAGAAUCAUUAGAUGUUUAAGGACUGCAAGAGAUGAAAAUAAAAGGUCAAGAUCUCUGGGUUCUGCUUCUCCCAGAAGCUCAAAAACCAGAACAAUGCUUACCCAAGCCCCCUCUAGACACCGAGAGAAGCAUUUUACAAAUAAGGGACUUUGGCAGAGCAAAAAAUAUCAAAAUGUCUAUCACCCAAAGCAAUAAACCAUGUGAUCCCAUGUUGUCAGCACAUCAUCCACCCACUGCCCCCUCAACGGGGCCAUCGUGAACAUGACAGGUAGAGAGGCUUGGCUUGAACGAAGAAGUCUGGUGUGCACUGCUUAUACCCACCACCAUCUGGAAGAAACCUCACAUUUGCAUGAUGGACUUUUCUUCAUUGACCCUUGCCCUCUCUACAAAUCCCAUCAGCCCAGAGCAGCUGCUGGAGAAUCUGGCUUGAAGCCAGGGGUGAAGUCACAGCCUCCUCCCACACCAAUGCCAUCUUGGGCUCAGCACCCCAUGUGGCUGGAUGAAGGGCAAGGAGAACACUGAUCCCUACAUGAGAAAAGUGAAGUCGCCAGCAGUCCCCGGAGCAGGGACCCGGUGCCACAAAGCCAGCUGUGAGAAACUGUUGUUUCAAGUCGGUAACAAAGAUGCUUGCCAGCAAAUUACAGUCUAAGACAGCUCAGAGUGCUGCGGGCUGGGCCACGGAGCUCUCGAGCUGACAGGAUGCCAGCUACGCCAGCUACAGCGAGCAUCCCGCAAGAGCAGCUCCACACAAAGGGCCAGGGAGGAGGGGCACCAGCCUGGGGAUUCUGGCACCCAGACCAAUGACACAAGGCACAGAAGGUCCAUAAAGGACUGCUGAGGAGACACCCGUGUGAAGGGAGCUCCUCUGCUUACAUUUCUAGCAGAGCUCAAAACUGAAUGGAGAUGCCUGUGGGUCAUGAGACCCCUUUGGGCGGGUCCGACGACCCUUUCACAGGGGUCACAGAUCAGAUCUCUCCACUACAAUUCAUGAAAGUAGCAAUUAAGGUUAUGAAGUAGCAACGAAAAUAAUUUUAUGGCCACGGCAGGAGGAACAGUAUUAAAGGGUUCAGCCUUAAGAAGGUAGAGAGCCACUGCCCACUGCCUGCUGCCCUAGGGAAGAGCUGGCUGGCCUAUGACAUACAAGGAGUCCUGAAAUAAGAUGGAGAUACUCGAGCUCCAGUCCACGUGCUCAACAGAUGAUGAAACAAGGGGGACUCAAUACUCCGUCAUCAGCAAGCAGUACAGAAGACAGUUGUGCACACUUAAAAUGACACAUCUCAGGGCUGGAGAGAUGGCUCAGUGAUUAGAGCACUGGCUGCUCUUGCAGAGGUCCUGAGUUCAAUUCCCAGCAACCACAUGGUGGCUCACAACCAUCUGUAAAUGAGAUCAGUGCCCUCUUCUGGUGUGUCUGAAGACAGCUAUAGUGUACUUAUAUAUAAUAAGUAAAUAAAUCUUUAAAAAAAUAAAGUACGAUGACACA
Rattus norvegicus (Norway rat) is the source of this 4438-nucleotide long non-coding RNA. RefSeq lists it as uncharacterized. NCBI's taxonomy places the organism in Eukaryota, Metazoa, Chordata, Mammalia, Rodentia, Muridae. The record is from RefSeq and is a predicted model, not a curated record.